RNAcentral lists this long non-coding RNA (237 nucleotides) under Anas platyrhynchos platyrhynchos (common mallard). RNAcentral describes it as "lncRNA (ENSAPLG00000021602.1)". Lineage: Eukaryota; Metazoa; Chordata; Aves; Anseriformes; Anatidae. The record is from RNAcentral.
AUGCACUCCCUGAGUCAAGAGUCUGACUUCCAUCUCUCUGGGGACUUGUGGGCAGAGCAGUCACACAGGACUCUUCCAGAAAGAGAGGAGAGAAAGGGACCAGAAGCAGGAGGAACAGAUGAAGUUCACUUUCUCCAUCUGUUUUGUAUUGAGCAAGCUAUUACUAAAAUGCAGGUGUGGGCUGUUGAACUGGGGCCAAUAAGAAUUCGCCGAACUGGCAGCAAUUCCUCGAAAUAG